GAAACCAAAUUACUUAAUUUUCAAGAGUUGUCGUAGUUUACCGGAAGCAGGAGAGCAAGACAGGGGUGCUGGUACCAAUGUCAAGCUGAGGAAGGGCUGCAGCAGUGAUAAACUAAAGCAAAGGACAACUAUGAAAUACCCAGCUAUCCCAACCACUGCACUUCUUCAGGGUUUUCAAUGAGAGAAGAGAGUGCUUGGCUUAUCACUGAUGCUGGGAACACAGAACAUUGCUGCUUGCUUACUAGAAGCCAGACAGACACUGGUGACAGGUGAGGGAAGUCAGGAGCUGUGGCAGAUUCGUGAAACAUCAUGGUGUCAGUUCCCCAUGAUAGUCUGAUGGCACACUUGUUUGUGCACCUGCCCUGUGUUCCAGUGUCUGUUAGCAUAUUCACACCUGGAGGAACAGAGCGACAGAGAUAAGCGUCAGCGCC
Molecule: long non-coding RNA, 431 nt
Organism: Rattus rattus (black rat)
Lineage: Eukaryota; Metazoa; Chordata; Mammalia; Rodentia; Muridae
Exons: 3
Source: RefSeq, a predicted model, not a curated record